This 1056-nucleotide ribosomal RNA is filed under the name uncultured bacterium. RNAcentral describes it as "bacterial SSU rRNA". It matches the Rfam family "Bacterial small subunit ribosomal RNA", at positions 338 to 1386 of the family's 1533-position model. The record is from RNAcentral.
CCUACGGGGGGCAGCAGUGGGGAAUAUUGCACAAUGGGCGCAAGCCUGAUGCAGCCAUGCCGCGUGUGUGAAGAAGGCCUUCGGGUUGUAAAGCACUUUCAGUUGUGAGGAAAGGGAUGUAGUUAAUAGCUGCAUUCUGUGACGUUAGCAACAGAAGAAGGACCGGCUAACUCCGUGCCAGCAGCCGCGGUAAUACGGAGGGUCCGAGCGUUAAUCGGAAUUACUGGGCGUAAAGCGUGCGUAGGCGGUUAAUUAAGUCAGAUGUGAAAUCCCGGGGCUCAACCUCGGAACUGCAUUUGAAACUGGUUAACUAGAGUAUUGUAGAGGGUGGUGGAAUUUCCAGUGUAGCGGUGAAAUGCGUAAAGAUUGGAAGGAACAUCAAUGGCGAAGGCGGCCACCUGGACAAAUACUGACGCUGAGGCACGAAAGCGUGGGGAGCGAACAGGAUUUAGAUACCCUGGUAGUCCACGCCGUAAACGAUGUCAACUAGCCGUCUGUUUCCUUGAGAAGUGGGUGGCGUAGCUAACGCGCUAAGUUGACCGCCUGGGGAGUACGGCCGCAAGGUUAAAACUCAAAUGAAUUGACGGGGGCCCGCACAAGCGGUGGAGCAUGUGGUUUAAUUCGAUGCAACGCGAAGAACCUUACCAUCCCUUGACAUCCAGAGAAUUUUCUAGAGAUAGAUUAGUGCCUUCGGGAACUCUGAGACAGGUGCUGCAUGGCUGUCGUCAGCUCGUGUUGUGAAAUGUUGGGUUAAGUCCCGCGACGAGCGCAACCCUUGUCCUUAUUUGCCAGCACUUCGGGUGGGAACUUUAAGGAGACUGCCGGUGAUAAACCGGAGGAAGGUGGGGACGACGUCAAGUCAUCAUGGCCCUUACGGGAUGGGCUACACACGUGCUACAAUGGUCGGUACAAAGUGCUGCGAGCUCGCGAGAGUCAGCGAAUCACUUAAAGCCGGUCGUAGUCCGGAUUGGAGUCUGCAACUCGACUCCAUGAAGUCGGAAUCGCUAGUAAUCGUAGAUCAGAAUGCUACGGUGAAUACGCUCCCGGGCCUUGUAC